Long non-coding RNA from Onthophagus taurus, 277 nucleotides. RefSeq lists it as uncharacterized. NCBI's taxonomy places the organism in Eukaryota, Metazoa, Arthropoda, Insecta, Coleoptera, Scarabaeidae. The record is from RefSeq and is a predicted model, not a curated record.
AAAAUCGUUAAAAUUUAUCUUAGAUUAAUAAAAAAAUAAAUAUUUACUUUUAAGGUUAUGUUCUUUAAGUGACAGUUAUUGACAGAUUAUUUAUUACCAAUAAAAGCAGCUUUAUUCUCUAAUAUUUUUAUUAAUUUUAAGCGAUUCAACUUGCAGAGAGACAAGGUUGGAUCUCAAUAGAGUCGAUGGGUUUUGUCUUUUUCAUACAAUAAAGGAAUUAAUAGAAAAUAAACUUCCUACAAUGUGUUAAAACGAAAAAAGAAGUAAAUAAGUUAAG